Molecule: ribosomal RNA, 209 nt
Filed under: uncultured bacterium
Lineage: Bacteria
Description: partial 16S ribosomal RNA
Rfam family: Bacterial small subunit ribosomal RNA
Source: RNAcentral
AGCGUAGACGGUAAAGCAAGUCUGAAGUGAAAGCCCGGGGCUCAACCCCGGGACUGCCUUGGAAACUGUUUAACUAGAGUGCUGGAGAGGUAAGCGGAAUUCCUAGUGUAGCGGUGAAAUGCGUAGAUAUUAGGAGGAACACCAGUGGCGAAGGCGGCUUACUGGACAGUAACUGACGUUGAGGCUCGAAAGCGUGGGGAGCAAACAAG